CCUACGGGUGGCUGCAGUGAGGAAUAUUGGUCAAUGGACGAGAGUCUGAACCAGCCAAGUAGCGUGAAGGAUGACUGCCCUAUGGGUUGUAAACUUCUUUUAUAUGGGAAUAAAAUGUUCCACGUGUGGGAUUUUGUAUGUACCAUAUGAAUAAGGAUCGGCUAACUCCGUGCCAGCAGCCGCGGUAAUACGGAGGAUCCGCGCGUUAUCCGGAUUUAUUGGGUUUAAAGGGAGCGUAGGUGGAUAGUUAUGUCAGUUGUGAAAGUUUGGGGCUCAACCGUAAAAUUGCAGUUGAAACUGGCGAGCUUGAGUACAGUAGAGGUAGGCGGAAUUCGUGGUGUAGCGGUGAAAUGCUUAGAUAUCACGAAGAACUCCGAUUGCGAAGGCAGUUCACUGGACUGCAACUGACACUGAGGCUCGAAAGUGUGGGUAUCAAACAGGAUUAGAUACCCGAGUAGUC
This 460-nucleotide ribosomal RNA is filed under the name uncultured bacterium. RNAcentral describes it as "partial 16S ribosomal RNA". It matches the Rfam family "Bacterial small subunit ribosomal RNA", at positions 338 to 795 of the family's 1533-position model. The record is from RNAcentral.